RNAcentral lists this ribosomal RNA (407 nucleotides) under uncultured bacterium. Its description in RNAcentral is "partial 16S ribosomal RNA". It matches the Rfam family "Bacterial small subunit ribosomal RNA", at positions 28 to 526 of the family's 1533-position model. The record is from RNAcentral.
GACGAACGCUGGCGGCGUGCCUAAUACAUGCAAGUAGGACGCAGUUGCGAACGGGUGAGUAACGCGUAGGUAACUGCCCAUUAGAGGGGGAUAACUAUUGGAAACGAUAGCUAAUACCGCAUACUAGUAGAUGGAACUGCGUUGUAUUAGCUAGUAGGUAGGGUAAUGGCCUACCUAGGAGACGAUACAUAGCCGACUUGAGAAGUUGAUCGGCUACAACUGGACUUAGACACGGCCCCGGCUCCUACGGGAGGCAGCAGUAGGGGAUAUGCGGCAAUGGGGGGAAACCUGACGAAGCAACGCCGGGUGAGUGAAGAAGGUUUUCGGAUCGUAAAGCUCUGUUGUUAAGGAAGCGGUACUUAACCAGAAAGGGACGGCUAACUACGUGCCAGCAGCCGCGGUAAUAC